Long non-coding RNA from Salmo salar (Atlantic salmon), 3013 nucleotides. RefSeq lists it as uncharacterized. Lineage: Eukaryota; Metazoa; Chordata; Actinopteri; Salmoniformes; Salmonidae. The record is from RefSeq and is a predicted model, not a curated record.
CAUUAGCAGUAAGAAAACAUGUCAACGGAAUAAAAUAUUAACCAAUGACAGGAAAGCUCGGGAAAUCCCACCCCUAUCUCCAAGCCAAACACCGGGUCAGCCCUCAAAUCUUGGCCGGUGGAGGCAUCACCUCGGUCGGCUUGCGCUUUAUACUUUCGACGAGGUGCAUAACUCCAGCCCAGAAACAAUACCCGAAUAGAUAGUCUACGUUUAUUGCUAUUUAGUCGCUUUCAUUAUAGCGUAGAGGUUGGCUAAAUCAAGUUAGUAGGCUAUACCGGUGAUUGAUUUUUUAAAGUAUGAAUUUAGCUCAGGAAAACGAAGAUUCCAAAUAGAUUUCUUUGUGGUUCCAUUCCAUGUGAAGAUUAUGUUGUCAGUUUAGGUCCAUUUUUACAUCAUAGCCAUUAUAUCUGGUUUCGUUUGUUUAGAAAUCCGCGUGCAGUUUUAUCUGUUGAAGUGUUGAUCGUGGUUUGGCCAUAAUAACAGAGUUAGUUCCCUCACUGGUUGUGCGUAAUGAUAUACUUACAAAGACUAUGCUGAGACGGUAAGAGAGUCCACAGCCACCCGUACCUGAAUGGUAGGCUAUCGGACUCGAUUUAGUGAUUAUAUUUCAGGGCUGUCCAUUUUCGUGACUCGCUGCUGUUUUGUGAACGAUUCACAGCAAGGACAGCGACUAAUAAACCGGACAUUGCCACUUUAAAAACUGCCCCGGGCCAUUCGAAAAGCGCAGAGACAGAUGCUUCGCCGAGGCAAGAAGAAAAGAAAACGAAUGAAUUUCGAGAGCAAAAUCGACAGAUAGAACGCGCAUAACCUGAAACAGCAAUGAGAUGAUUUAUAAUAAUAGAUUAUCAUGAGGGCAGUCUCUCCUCUGAGCGUGAGGGCACAACAGCGUCCUGACUCGCCAGAACAGUUUAUUGGUUGAAAACACACAAUACUCCAUGCAGCUCCGGGAAUGUCCCUGCCUGCAGCCGGCCCUCUCCUCCCCGGCUUCCCAAACUUUGAUCAGCGAGGCCUGGCCGCGGAGCCGCUUGAGCCGUGCAGCAUGGUUUGCUGGCAGAGAAGGAUGGGUAUAAAUGGAGACUGUCACAGGAGAGGAGGGUAAAGACCAGGGGCAUGUUCAGGAGGCAGACAACGUUUUGAAACAGAGUGAAACAGCUAAGGUGUGUCCUCCUUAACAGGCCCCUGCCCCUGGUAGAGGUGCCAGCUGGGGCACUGGCCUGGGCAUGGUUCCUUCAAACUCAGAGAGACAUUGGCAUGCAGGGCAUCAUGUCACAGUGUGGGGCACCAGGGGAGCGUCAGUGGGCAAACCAUAGAAAUAUGAUGAAUAGAACAGGCGUCCCCAUUCAAGUCAAUUUUGCCCACAGUGGAGGUGUCAUAAUACCCAUAAAACCCAGCGGUCAGACAGGGAAAUGGUUCCAAUCGUUUUUUCCACCAUUCAUUUUUCUCAUAGGGGAAUUUAGAAAUACUUAAAAUGAGGGCUGUGUUUCUUGUAAGCUUACCCUGGUGUGAUGUUAUGAUAACCAUGUAAAUCUCUCUCGGACAAGGUGACUUAUCAAUAUAUUUGGCUCUAUUUACUCUCAGGUUCAAAAAUGCUAAUUAGCUUCAAAGUAGACAUCACGCAAAACUACAAAUCCCUGCAAGCUCCGCACGUCAUCUCUAGCUGACACCUUUGCUAUCAGGUAUUGUGUCAAUUUAAAACUGGCAAAAGGGCCUCCCGAGUGGCGCAGCGGUCUAAGGCACUGCAUUGCAGUGCUGAGGCGUCACUACAGCCUCGGGUUUGAUCCCAGCCGGCUGUGACCGGGAGACCCAUGAGGCGGCGCACAAUUGGCCCAAGUUAGGGAAGGGUUUGGCCGGCUGGGAUUUCCUUGUCUCAUCGUACUCUAGUGUCUCCUUGUGGUGGGCCGGGCGCCUGCAAGCUGAUUUCGGUUGUCAGUUGGACAGUGUUUCCUCCGACACAUUGGUGCGGCUGGCUUUCGAGUUAAGCAAGCAGUGUGUCAAGAAGCAGUGUGGUUGGGCAGGGUCGUGUUGCGGAGGACGCACGGCUCUCGACCUUCACCUCUCCCGAGUCCGUAGGGGAGUUGCAGCGAUGAGACAAGACUAACUAUCAAUUGGGGAGAAAAAAAAAAUAGCAAAAGACAGUUCACAGAAUUGUCCAUUUAAAGAAAUGUAGCUACUUUAUUCAUUACUACAUUUAGCUAACAGAUAAUUAAUCCAGAGAUUCUUACGUUUGCCUCGAUUCGGCAGCCUCGUCCAGAUCAUCAUGGCGUUUGUAAUUUUUUAAUCAUAGCCACAUUAGCAGCUAUUAAGCGUUUCAUUUUUGGUGGGUAAAUACAGGCAAAUAUAGUGAUAAAAGUAACCCUGUCCUAGACAGAUUUACACGGUUAUCAAAACGUCACACCAGGGUAACCCUACAUGAAACACAGCCCUUAUUUUAAGUGUUUCUAAAAUCCCCUAUGAAUGAUGAUGAAUGGUGGAAAAAUGAUUUGAACCAUUUCCCUGUUUGACCGCUAGGUUUUAUGGGUAUAUGACUCAUACUGUGGUACUCUAUGGGCGGACAAGUCAUAUGUGCUGUAAUUUAUUGAUUAAACUGACAUUGCAAAAAAAGACAUUCGUUUGAAUGAACAUUCUUACCAUGGAAAUUAUUGCAUCACAUUACCAGGCAGCCACUGUAAGUGUACCCAUGUGUUUACCAAUCAAAAACGCCAGGGUUAGAAGUUCCAAGCCCAUUCUAUUCAUUCUUUUUCUAUGGGGCAAACAACCUGAAGGCAAGAGCAGAGCCAGUGCUUGUUGGCAUCAGUAUGCCUGCUCAAACACAUUCACAUGGCCAUUGUUUCAGUCUCUGGCCUGGUUUUGCUCCUGUCUAUGGUAAGUGAAUUGCAUUUAAACAUAGGGGCCCUACAUCAAUUAGUCUUGUACUGAUUUUAGAUUCUUGAACAUUCUUGUUCUGAGUGUCAGAUACGUUUUAGAGUGUUGUAUUCACAGUCUGCUUUUCCACAAUAAACUGGCAGAAAAUGUG